This 452-nucleotide ribosomal RNA is filed under the name uncultured Bacteroidales bacterium. RNAcentral describes it as "bacterial SSU rRNA". It matches the Rfam family "Bacterial small subunit ribosomal RNA", at positions 342 to 791 of the family's 1533-position model. Lineage: Bacteria; Pseudomonadati; Bacteroidota; Bacteroidia; Bacteroidales. The record is from RNAcentral.
CGGGAUGCAGCAGUGAGGAAUAUUGGUCAAUGGGCGAGAGCCUGAACCAGCCAUCCCGCGUGCAGGAAGACGGCCCUAUGGGUUGUAAACUGCUUUUUCGCAUGAAGAACAUCCUUGACGUGUCAGGGACUGACGGUAAUGCGUGAAUAAGCACCGGCUAACUCCGUGCCAGCAGCCGCGGUAAUACGGAGGGUGCAAGCGUUAUCCGGAUUUAUUGGGUUUAAAGGGUGCGUAGGCGGCUAUUUAAGUCAGUGGUGAAAUCCUGCAGCUCAACUGUAGAACAGCCAUUGAAACUGAAUAGCUUGAGUAAUCUUGAGGUAGGCGGAAUGUGUAGUGUAGCGGUGAAAUGCUUAGAUAUUACACAGAACACCGAUUGCGAAGGCAGCUUACUAAGGAUUUACUGACGCUGAUGCACGAAAGCGUGGGGAUCAAACAGGAUUAGAUACCCCAGU